This 159-nucleotide ribosomal RNA is filed under the name Tilia japonica. RNAcentral's name for it is "5.8S ribosomal RNA". It matches the Rfam family "5.8S ribosomal RNA". From Rfam's summary of the family: 5.8S ribosomal RNA (5.8S rRNA) is a component of the large subunit of the eukaryotic ribosome. It is transcribed by RNA polymerase I as part of the 45S precursor that also contains 18S and 28S rRNA. Functionally, it is thought that 5.8S rRNA may be involved in ribosome translocation. The record is from RNAcentral. Lineage: Eukaryota; Viridiplantae; Streptophyta; Magnoliopsida; Malvales; Malvaceae.
CGACUCUCGGCAACGGAUAUCUCGGCUCUCGCAUCGAUGAAGAACGUAGCGAAAUGCGAUACUUGGUGUGAAUUGCAGAAUCCCGUGAACCAUCGAGUCUUUGAACGCAAGUUGCGCCCCAAGCCAUUAGGCCGAGGGCACGCCCGCCUGGGUGUCACG